Sinocyclocheilus grahami is the source of this 328-nucleotide long non-coding RNA. RefSeq lists it as uncharacterized. Lineage: Eukaryota; Metazoa; Chordata; Actinopteri; Cypriniformes; Cyprinidae. The transcript has 5 exons. The record is from RefSeq and is a predicted model, not a curated record.
GUGAAGGAAAGACGACACCCAAGACAGCCUCUAAAGAACAGCACUUGUUCCCUGGAAUUGCUUUUGCUUCUGAUAUUAAUGGUCGGCCUCCCCCUAACAUGAGACCUGUACAACAAGAUCAUGUUCCCAUGACAGCCAUGCCCAACCGCCCAUAUAGCAUAUCUAGUGGGAUGCGUGAUCCUCAAAUGGGAGGUCCUGCUCGGCCCUAUAAUCCAUCCAGUGGUGUGCAUUCAUCUGUUGACAGCAUGACUGAUGGACGACCCCGUGAGCCAAACAGCAUGUACACUGGCAUGCGUGACCCUAUGGGAGGUCCUGUGCAGCCUUACAG